Molecule: long non-coding RNA, 554 nt
Organism: Drosophila willistoni
Lineage: Eukaryota; Metazoa; Arthropoda; Insecta; Diptera; Drosophilidae
Exons: 3
Source: RefSeq, a predicted model, not a curated record
GUGAAUUAUAGUUCGGGAAAAAACAAAUAAUGAAUUGGAAAAACAUAAUAAUGGGAGAAGUAUGAACAGGUUUCGGUUUACGGUUUUAUACUUCACACAUACACAUACCUACCUAUGGACUUUUAGCCAAGAUUUUUCCAAAUAUAAAAGCGACCGUGACGUUGGAUCGAGCUUACUUUUAUAGGAUUAAAAUCUGUUUAUAUUAUUAGUGGAAUAUAUAUACACACUGCAAUCCCUUUAACACAAUGAAAAUUGCAAUGCUGACGGUACCGGACAUUCAUAGGCCCUGAUGUCGUGGGAUUGCGUCUGCUGCAAUUCGGAUAAGCCAAUUACGUUAUCAGUAAAUUACAACACCCAACGACAUGUGCUAUCUGUCUUCGCUCUGUUGAUGCGAUUCUCAACUUUAUUUCAAAUGAGUUUUAUCAAAUAUUCGUAUGGUCACACACACACGCCACACGCCACACGCCACACGCCACAAGCAUACACAUACCUCACACACAUGAUUAUGUAUGUAUAUCUCGUUCAACUCAGUAAAUCUUAACAAAUCCGGAGAA